RNAcentral lists this unclassified non-coding RNA (392 nucleotides) under soil metagenome. RNAcentral describes it as "partial contains 5.8S ribosomal RNA, internal transcribed spacer 2, and large subunit ribosomal RNA". The stretch from base 1 to 123 matches the Rfam family "5.8S ribosomal RNA", at positions 35 to 154 of the family's 154-position model. The record is from RNAcentral.
GAUGAAGAACGUAGCGAAAUGCGAUACGUAAUGUGAAUUGCAGAUCUCUCAGUGAACCAUCGAAUUUUUGAACGCACAUAGCGCCCGCCGGUCAUUCCGGCGGGCAUGCCUGUCCGAGCGUCGAUGACGCCGCUCGAGCCCCCGUGCUCGGUGUUGGGGCGCUAGGUCUCCCAGAGGCCUAGGCCCCCAAGUAGCAGUGCGCGGUCCGGCUGCGGGCCCCGGGUACAGUAACUUCACUGUUGAGAUGCCCUGGGAGCCGCUGGCUGGGUCAGCUGUAAAACCCCCGACAUAGGCCUUCCUGUCCGCCCCCGGCGGGGAGGGAGACCGCCUAAUGUUGACCUCGGAUCAGGUAGGACUACCCGCUGAACUUAAGCAUAUCAAUAAGCGGAGGA